This is a long non-coding RNA of Acanthochromis polyacanthus (spiny chromis), 1781 nucleotides long. RefSeq lists it as uncharacterized. The transcript is spliced from 3 exons. The record is from RefSeq and is a predicted model, not a curated record. NCBI's taxonomy places the organism in Eukaryota, Metazoa, Chordata, Actinopteri, Pomacentridae.
AAAAAAUGUCUGUAGAAAUUACAGUAAAAAACUGUAAAAUAGCAACAGUAAAAGACUGUAAAAUCCAAAAUAGUAUAUGCCCGUAAUUGUUACAUUGAAUAACUGUAAAUCAAGAAACAGUAUAUAGCUAUAAUUUUUACGGUUCUAACAUGUAGAAAUAACACAGUUUUACUGUGAAAACACAAAAUAUUGAUAAAUUAACGGGAAAAUCCAGUAAUAUUACAAGCAAGUAAUUACUGCAAAAUUAACAGUAUAAUUCUGUUUAAUUUACAGAUUUUGCUGAUGUGUAUUUUCAAAUUUACGGUAUAAAACCAUUAAUGAUCAAGCAAAAACUCGCCUUCAUUUAUGAAGAAAAACGAUGUAAAAAAUACGGUAUAUAUUUGUUAUAGAAUAUCACAGUUAAAAGGAAAUCUGUAUAAUUUACGGUGAAAUACCAGCAGCUAUUGUUGCCAGAAUUUCACCGUAAAAAUUACGGUGACAGUGUAAAAGUUAUGACAGUACUGGGAAAAAAUCUGUAUAAAAUUUAUGGUGAAAUAUGACAGCUGUGGUUGCCAGAAUUUCGCUGUAAAAAUAACGGUGACAGUGUAAAUGACUACUGGGGAAAAAAUCUGUAUAAUUUACAUAAAAUACGGGCAGGUGUAGCUGUCAGUAUUUGUGAAAUUUCUCUCCCUCCUGCACAAUCAACUGUAAGUGGUAUUCAAGCAAAUUGGAAGUGUUUAGGAACAACAGCAGCUCAAUCAGGAAGUGGUAGAUCACUUACAGCUGAUCUUGGAAUAUUUUCAAGAGUAGAAAUUUCACAAACUGACUUGUUGCAACGGUGGCAUCCCACUGCAGCACCACGCUCACAUUCAGUGAACUCUGAGAGAGAGAGUGAGAGAGAGAGAGAGAGAGAGAGAGAGAGAGUGAGAGAGUGAGAGAGUGAGAGAGAGAGAGAGAGAGAGAGAGAGAGAGAGAGAGAGAGACACACACCUGCGCGCGCGUGAGAGCGUCUCCAACGGAAAUUCAAAAUUUGACCGGGUCACGCAGUUGCAUUAGUCGCGCGUUUUCUGCGCUCAACGCAGCUUUGGUGGGGACAGACCAACAGGUCCAAAUUUCUGGGGAAAACUCUGGUCUUGAGAGGGGAUCGUGCCAAGCCACAAUGCACACCUGACUGACAACUUGUGAAUCUUCAAGCUAAACUGAUGACAGCACAUCCUCAAAGUUCCAGUUUGCUGAACAUUGAACAUCUGUCCUACCUGUGUUUAGUCAAGUCUGGACCCUGGACCUCAAUCUUGUCAAGGGAAAUUAGAGAGAGAAUCAUGCCAGCAGACAUCUGAUGGCCAACAGUGAAUCUUCAACCAAAGCCAGUGGUUCCAGUUCCAGUUCCAGUUCCAGCAUUGUGUGUGAUAUGAUCCCAUUCUGAGCCUCCUGUUCAGUUAAGUCUGAACUCAAUGAAUUAUUAAUCUUAACCAGGCAAGUGACUAUGUUUUUGCAUGAACUAUUUCUCAUGUGAUCACAUGCUGUUUUUUCCCCAAUAUCUAAACACUGCCUUGUUGCUGUAGUGGAUAAGUUGUUGUAUUUCAGAGAAUGCUUAAAACAAUUUCUUAAAGUUUAUUAAUGAUAAUAUGUUUAAUUUGUUAUUUCCUUUGUAAUUUACCUUUAGCAGUUUUUGACUGUAAAAUCUGUGCCAACCAACUUUAUUAUCUGAUGUGUUGUAUUUCUUGCAAUGACAUUAUGGUGACCACAGCUGCUGGUAAUUCACUGUAAAGUUGAACUUAGUAAUAAAGUACCGUAAUACCUCA